This 375-nucleotide ribosomal RNA is filed under the name uncultured bacterium. RNAcentral's name for it is "bacterial SSU rRNA". It matches the Rfam family "Bacterial small subunit ribosomal RNA", at positions 521 to 896 of the family's 1533-position model. The record is from RNAcentral.
UAAUACAGAGGGUGCGAGCGUUAAUCGGAAUUACUGGGCGUAAAGGGCGCGUAGGCGGUUAUGCGAGUGUGAUGUGAAAGCCCUGGGCUUAACCUAGGAAGAGCAUCGCAAACGGCAUGACUGGAGUAUUGGAGAGGGUAGCGGAAUUUCCGGUGUAGCGGUGAAAUGCGUAGAGAUCGGAAGGAACGUCGAUGGCGAAGGCAGCUACCUGGCCAAAUACUGACGCUGAGGCGCGAAAGCGUGGGGAGCAAACAGGAUUAGAUACCCUGGUAGUCCACGCUGUAAACGAUGAGAACUAGAUGUUGGAUGGGGAACCAUUUGGUAUCGAAGCAAACGCGAUAAGUUCUCCGCCUGGGAAGUACGGCCGCAAGGUUG